This 73-nucleotide transfer RNA is filed under the name Perkinsus olseni. Its description in RNAcentral is "tRNA-Thr". It matches the Rfam family "tRNA". Rfam says of the family: Transfer RNA (tRNA) molecules are approximately 80 nucleotides in length. Their secondary structure includes four short double-helical elements and three loops (D, anti-codon, and T loops). Lineage: Eukaryota; Perkinsozoa; Perkinsida; Perkinsidae. The record is from RNAcentral.
GCCUUUUUAGCUUGGUUGGUAGAACACCCGCUUAGUAAGCGGAAGGACGUCGGUUCAGCUCCGGCAGAAGGCU